UGGCAUGUGAUGAAAUAUACUCGGAUUCCCCUUCAGGACAUUCUGAAUGAUGUAAAUCGAGUUUCUGAUGCU
Molecule: non-coding RNA, 72 nt
Organism: Thalictrum thalictroides
Lineage: Eukaryota; Viridiplantae; Streptophyta; Magnoliopsida; Ranunculales; Ranunculaceae
Source: the annotation of a GenBank genome assembly